ACAAAUAAUACCUUCUGUCUAUCACUGAUAAAUGUAAAGUUGGAGUUUCUAGCCAACUCCAAAUCGCCUCCUACGCAUUCAAGAAACCAAGUCCAAGAGCUAAGAGUCUCUGCCUCUACAACUGCAUAAACAAGUGGGUAGAUUCCAUUGUUCGGGUCAAUACCCACUGCUGUUAACACCUGACUCGGGAAGGGACCUUUCAUGAAAGCUCCAUCUAGACCCAACAAGUCCCUACCUAUUGCUUUAAACCCCUGUUUCAAAGCCCCCAAGCAUACAUAGAUCCGCUUGAAUAUUCUCUUUCUAGAUUUUGGGUUCCUUACUGGUUCAACCUCUAUCUUGACAGUUGAACCUGGGUUUCUAUUAAGAAGUUCAUUGGCAUAAUCUCUAAGCCGAACAUAUUGUGUAACGUAAUCUCCUUGUACUUGUUUCUUAGCUUUGAUCUUGGCCCUGUAUGCUUUCAUCUUGGAUACCGCUAAUUCAUAUCUCCUUUGAAAUUGUUCUUGAACUGCUUUCACAGAAAGUGGAUGUGCAAGCAUAAAUGUUUCUAGUUUGAAGGCAUUUAUGUUCUGUAAUCAAAGUCUUCACCAUCCAAGAUUCACUUUGACCAUCUUUUGAAAUUAAAACCACCCAAGGGCAUUGAUAUUUGGCCUAGAUAGAAAUUGACAGUGGUUUCAUUUGACUUUCUAAGAUAAUUUAAUUGGCGUCUCCUAAUACUUGUUGCAUUCUCAUCGGAUUCUGAGCCACUGUCAAAAGCCUCAUUGUCCAAAACCUCAUCCUCUUCUUCAAUAUCUCUUAGAACACCUAUGUUAAUGUCCUCUACAUCCAAGUCAACAUGUAACCUAAAAUCCCUCAUGUCUACUUCAGGAUCAUCAUGCCUAUUAGCGUUAUCAACUAUAUAGUCACUAUCAUCCUCAUCAAGCACACUAUCAUAAACAUUGGUUUCACUCUCAACAUGAAUAAUGCUUCCCUCCUUAACAGGAUAAUGAUCAUCAGUUUCUGAAUUGACACAAUCAUACAUAAAUACAUAAAGUUAAUAAAUAAAGUUAGAUUCAGAAUACAUAAAGAUAAAACUACGAUGGAAUCAGUUUCUGAAUUGAACACAAGAUAUUAUGAAAACUACAAUGGAAUCAAUAGAUAAAACUACGAUGAUGUUGGAAGCUUACCAUAAAUUUCAUCCAUGUCGUUUUGUUCUAGGGCUUGUUGCAUGUAGAAGACACCACUGAAAGGUUUCGUUUUUUUGUAGGGUUUUUAGAGGAAUAGGAACAAUCAGAUGAUGUUAUGAGAGAGUUUUUUUGAGAGGAAUACGAACAAUCAACUGCUAUUAUGAGAUGGGUUUUUAGAGAUUAUUUAUUUAGUUUUUAAAUGUAUAAUUUAGAUGAAAAGACCAUAUUGCCCUCAUGUUAGAGGCACAUAGUAAGACUUAACCAAAAAAUUAAACUAGGUUAGCACUAAAGGACAUAGGGUGCUAAAAACUUAUAGCAUAAAGGACGGCGCCUGUAAUAUCUUUAGUUAAAGGACACCGGUUGUAAUAUGGUACAAACGUAAAGGACACCGGUUGUAAUUUACUCUAGAUCUAUUCAACACGUGUAAUAUACGAGGUUUUUAAGGAUGUACUUUUUUAUUAUUUGGUAGAUUUAUUCAACCCAAUUAUACAAGGUUUUUUAAAGAUACGACGUUUUUAGUAUUUAGUAUACAAAAUUAUAUUUAUUUAAUCUGUGUAAUAUAUAUGGUUUUUAAAGAUAUAACUUUUUUUAUUAUUUGAUAUAUAAAAUUACAUUUAUUUAAUCCGUACAAUAUACGGGGCUCACAAACAUAUAACUUUUUAGUAUUUAUAUAAAAUUCAUUUACUCAACCCGUGUAAUAUACAAGGUUCUAGCAUAGUAUGAACAUAUACAUAACAAAAGGAAAAACUAUAAAAUUAAACAUGACAGUCUCUCUACAUUUGAUUUUGAUGAUGCACAAAUUGUUAUUUAACAUGAAACGUUUCAAAUAACUAACAAGCAACUAAUGGCUAUCAUUACUAUUAUUAUAAUAUCUUGAAAUCAAAUACCGAGGAAACUCAGUCGAGGCAUUUUAAACACAGAAAUUGUUGAUAUUUUACGAAACAAAAUGAUAAUAAUGUUGCAGCAUGUGUAAUGGGUCCAUAGUAGAAUGAAUAUAA
RNAcentral lists this long non-coding RNA (2161 nucleotides) under Helianthus annuus (common sunflower). RNAcentral's name for it is "hypothetical non coding rna". Lineage: Eukaryota; Viridiplantae; Streptophyta; Magnoliopsida; Asterales; Asteraceae. The record is from RNAcentral.